GUUGUUCGCUUAAAUUGGUCGUCAAAUGUUGAUACGCGAAAGACAUUUUCUGUUUCUUUUACUCAUAUAUGUCGAUUGUCAUAUAGUUGGAGAUAAAGCUCACUUGAACUUAAAAAAAUAUGCGAGCAUGCGUACGGUUGUUUUCACGACACGAUCAUAGUCUGUGGUAAAUCUGUUAACGAAGCCCGUACAUUUUUGGACCUCUGCGAUUUGUACGAAUACUCCUGCGAAUACAGCAUGGUUUUCAGGCACGUCAAAGAAGAUGACGGAAUUUGUCCAAACCCUAAGGAAUUAGGACCGGGAGUGGGUUAAAAGUAACGAAUAUAUGGAUAAAGUAUAACAAUGUAAUUUAUAUAAAUAAUAAAACAUCAAUCCUGAUUUAUGUGAAUUCCUAAUCCAGAAUUAAGCAUUGACUCAUAUGAAGAUACUAAAGCGAAAUCGAAAACAGGAUGUAAUAGUAGUGUUAACAUCAAAACUGUCUUAGGAAAUAGCAACUGCAUGUCUUCAUUAUUUAAAAAAAAAACUGUUAUUUUUAAUGAGAUCAUAUUAUUAUGUAAAAGAUAAAAUACAUAGUGUAAUUUGUACAAUAAUGCGAUAAGUUGCAUGUUACGCUUUUCAUCGAACUUGGCGAAGCUGAAGUUCUCGUCAAAUCCACAGAUAAUAUUGGAAUUGAGGGAUCUUUAUCAAAGUAUUACGUUCCGACAUCACGAGCUCGCUUCAUUCGACAUGUCUUCUCCAUUUGAGCGACGAGACGAUUUAUAAAAAUAAGUUUAGUAAAUUUUUUU
Long non-coding RNA from Bombyx mori (domestic silkworm), 785 nucleotides. RefSeq lists it as uncharacterized. Lineage: Eukaryota; Metazoa; Arthropoda; Insecta; Lepidoptera; Bombycidae. The record is from RefSeq and is a predicted model, not a curated record. The transcript has 3 exons.